This 388-nucleotide ribosomal RNA is filed under the name Glycine max (soybean). RNAcentral's name for it is "eukaryotic LSU rRNA". It matches the Rfam family "Eukaryotic large subunit ribosomal RNA", at positions 255 to 646 of the family's 3401-position model. Lineage: Eukaryota; Viridiplantae; Streptophyta; Magnoliopsida; Fabales; Fabaceae. The record is from RNAcentral.
UGUCGGCGANUCGGGUUGUUUGGGAAUGCANCCCCAAUCGGGCGGUAAAUUCCGACCAAGGCUAAAUACUGGCGAGAGACCGAUAGCGAACAAGUACCGCGAGGGAAAGAUGAAAAGGACUUUGAAAAGAGAGUCAAAGAGUGCUUGAAAUUGUCGGGAGGGAAGCGGAUGGGGGCCGGCGAUGUGUCCCGGUCGGAUGUGGAACGGUGAGAGCCGGUCCGCCGAUCGACUCGGGACAUUGACCGACGCGGAUUNCGAUGGUGGCCCAAGCCCGGGCUGUUGAUAUGCUCGUGGAGACGUCAUCAUCUCGAUUGUGGAUGGCAGCGCGCGCCCUUGGCGUGCCUCGGCACCUGCGCGCUCCUGGCGUCGGCCUGUGGCUCCCCAUUCG